RNAcentral lists this ribosomal RNA (549 nucleotides) under Bacillus pumilus. RNAcentral describes it as "bacterial SSU rRNA". It matches the Rfam family "Bacterial small subunit ribosomal RNA", at positions 88 to 623 of the family's 1533-position model. Lineage: Bacteria; Bacillati; Bacillota; Bacilli; Caryophanales; Bacillaceae. The record is from RNAcentral.
GAUGUUAGCGGCGGACGGGUGAGUAACACGUGGGUAACCUGCCUGUAAGACUGGGAUAACUCCGGGAAACCGGAGCUAAUACCGGAUAGUUCCUUGAACCGCAUGGUUCAAGGAUGAAAGACGGUUUCGGCUGUCACUUACAGAUGGACCCGCGGCGCAUUAGCUAGUUGGUGGGGUAAUGGCUCACCAAGGCGACGAUGCGUAGCCGACCUGAGAGGGUGAUCGGCCACACUGGGACUGAGACACGGCCCAGACUCCUACGGGAGGCAGCAGUAGGGAAUCUUCCGCAAUGGACGAAAGUCUGACGGAGCAACGCCGCGUGAGUGAUGAAGGUUUUCGGAUCGUAAAGCUCUGUUGUUAGGGAAGAACAAGUGCGAGAGUAACUGCUCGCACCUUGACGGUACCUAACCAGAAAGCCACGGCUAACUACGUGCCAGCAGCCGCGGUAAUACGUAGGUGGCAAGCGUUGUCCGGAAUUAUUGGGCGUAAAGGGCUCGCAGGCGGUUUCUUAAGUCUGAUGUGAAAGCCCCCGGCUCAACCGGGGAGGGU